RNAcentral lists this ribosomal RNA (397 nucleotides) under uncultured bacterium. RNAcentral's name for it is "partial 16S ribosomal RNA". It matches the Rfam family "Bacterial small subunit ribosomal RNA", at positions 523 to 918 of the family's 1533-position model. The record is from RNAcentral.
AUACGUAGGGGGCGAGCGUUGUCCGGAAUGAUUGGGCGUAAAGGGCGCGUAGGCGGCCCGGUAAGUCUGGAGUGAAAGUCCUGUUUUUAAGAUGGGAAUUGCUUUGGAUACUGUCGGGCUUGAGUGCAGGAGAGGUAAGUGGAAUUCCCAGUGUAGCGGUGAAAUGCGUAGAGAUUGGGAGGGACACCAGUGGCGAAGGCGACUUACUGGACUGUAACUGACGCUGAGGCGCGAAAGUGUGGGGAGCAAACAGGAUUAGAUACCCUGGUAGUCCACACUGUAAACGAUGGAUGCUAGGUGUAGGGGGUAUCGACCCCUUCUGUGCCGCAGUCAACACAAUAAGCAUUCCGCCUGGGGAGUACGGCCGCAAGGUUGAAACUCAAAGGAAUUGACGGGG